This 241-nucleotide ribosomal RNA is filed under the name uncultured bacterium. RNAcentral describes it as "partial 16S ribosomal RNA". It matches the Rfam family "Bacterial small subunit ribosomal RNA", at positions 95 to 334 of the family's 1533-position model. The record is from RNAcentral.
CCGGCGUACGGGUGAGUAACACGUAUCCAACCUGCCGUCUACUCUUGGCCAGCCUUCUGAAAGGAAGAUUAAUCCAGGAUGGCAUCAUGAGUUCACAUGUCCGCAUGAUUAAAGGUAUUUUCCGGUAGACGAUGGGGAUGCGUUCCAUUAGAUAGUAGGCGGGGUAACGGCCCACCUAGUCAACGAUGGAUAGGGGUUCUGAGAGGAAGGUCCCCCACAUUGGAACUGAGACACGGUCCAA